RNAcentral lists this transfer RNA (72 nucleotides) under Camelus bactrianus (Bactrian camel). It matches the Rfam family "tRNA". Rfam says of the family: Transfer RNA (tRNA) molecules are approximately 80 nucleotides in length. Their secondary structure includes four short double-helical elements and three loops (D, anti-codon, and T loops). The record is from Rfam by way of RNAcentral. RNAcentral also lists the same sequence under 2 other names. Lineage: Eukaryota; Metazoa; Chordata; Mammalia; Artiodactyla; Camelidae.
GGGUAUAUAGCUCAGUGGUAGAGUAUAUGCUUAACAUACGCAGGAUCCUAGGUUCAAUCCCCAGUACCUCCA